RNAcentral lists this ribosomal RNA (427 nucleotides) under uncultured bacterium. Its description in RNAcentral is "partial 16S ribosomal RNA". It matches the Rfam family "Bacterial small subunit ribosomal RNA", at positions 355 to 774 of the family's 1533-position model. The record is from RNAcentral.
UGGGGAAUAUUGGACAAUGGGCGAAAGCCUGAUCCAGCCAUGCCGCGUGUGUGAAGAAGGUCUUCGGAUUGUAAAGCACUUUAAGUUGGGAGGAAGGGCAGUUACCUAAUACGUGAUUGUUUUGACGUUACCGACAGAAUAAGCACCGGCUAACUCUGUGCCAGCAGCCGCGGUAAUACAGAGGGUGCAAGCGUUAAUCGGAAUUACUGGGCGUAAAGCGCGCGUAGGUGGUCUGUUAAGUUGGAUGUGAAAUCCCCGGGCUCAACCUGGGAACUGCAUUCAAAACUGACUGACUAGAGUAUGGUAGAGGGUGGUGGAAUUUCCUGUGUAGCGGUGAAAUGCGUAGAUAUAGGAAGGAACACCAGUGGAGAAGGCGACCACCUGGACUAAUACUGACACUGAGGUGCGAAAGCGUGGGGAGCAAACA